Molecule: ribosomal RNA, 664 nt
Filed under: Wickerhamiella azyma
Lineage: Eukaryota; Fungi; Ascomycota; Dipodascomycetes; Dipodascales; Trichomonascaceae
Description: eukaryotic LSU rRNA
Rfam family: Eukaryotic large subunit ribosomal RNA (bases 82-664)
Source: RNAcentral
AGUGGGUAUUGAGGCUGUACACAGCCCUUAAAAAGAUCAUGCGUAUGUGUUAACCACAAUGUGCGCUUUAAAAUCUAAUUUUGACCUCGUCUAGAGCAAGAGUACCCGCUGAACUUAAGCAUAUCAAUAAGCGGAGGAAAAGAAACCAACAGGGAUUGCCUUAGUAGCGGCGAGUGAAGCGGCAAAAGCUCAAAUUUGAAAUCUGCCUUACGGCCGAGUUGUAAUUUGUAGAUGGUAACUCUGUGGCAAGCCUUUGCUCAAGUUUUCUGGAAAGAAACAUCAUGGAGGGUGAUAAUCCCGUGAGGCAUUGGUGCAGCUACGUGUAGAGUGCUAUCAAAGAGUCGAGUUGUUUGGGAAUGCAGCUCAAAGUGGGUGGUAGACACCAUCUAAAGCUAAAUAUUGGCGAGAGACCGAUAGCGAACAAGUACUGUGAAGGAAAGAUGAAAAGCACUUUGAAAAGAGAGUGAAAAAGUACGUGAAAUUAUUGAUACUGAAGGGUAUAAAAUUGGACUCAAGGCCUAGGUUCGGUAGCCUCUCGGGGUUGCUUUGUCCUAGGCCCUAAACCAGCAUCAGUUUUGGCAGGUGGAUAAACAACAUGGAAUGUAGCUGCUUGCAGUGUUAUAGACUUGUUGCAUACGCCUCGCCGGGACUGAGGACCGCCUUG